CGAAGCGAAGCAGUGAUGUGAAGCAAAUCGCACCAAAGCCGGUCCCAGUUCGGAUAAGAGGCUGAAACUCGCCUCUUUGAAGUCGGAAUCGCUAGUAAUCGCAGAUCAGCAUGUUGCGGUGAAUACGUUCCCGGGUCUUGUACACACCGCCCGUCAAACCAUGAGAGUCACCAACACCCGAAGUCCGCUUUGGCGGCCUAAGGUGGGGGAGAUGAUUGGGGUUAAGUCGUAACAAGGUAAC
Molecule: ribosomal RNA, 241 nt
Filed under: uncultured bacterium
Lineage: Bacteria
Description: partial 16S ribosomal RNA
Rfam family: Bacterial small subunit ribosomal RNA
Source: RNAcentral